This 169-nucleotide unclassified non-coding RNA is filed under the name rhizosphere metagenome. Its description in RNAcentral is "partial ribosomal RNA internal transcribed spacer region". The record is from RNAcentral.
UAGAGUUUGUGGACUUCGGUCUGCUACCUCUUACCCAUGUCUUUUGAGUACCUUCGUUUCCUCGGCGGGUCCGCCCGCCGGUUGGACAACAUUCAAACCCUUUGCAGUUGCAAUCAGCGUCUGAAAAAACUUAAUAGUUACAACUUUCAACAACGGAUCUCUUGGUUCU